UACAGAGGUCCUAAGCGUUGUUCGGAUUCAUUGGGCGUAAAGGGUGUGUAGGUGGCGCCGUAAGUCGGGUGUGAAAUCUCGGGGCUUAACUCCGAAACUGCAUUCGAUACUGCGGUGCUUGAGGACUGGAGAGGAGACUGGAAUUCAUGGUGUAGCAGUGAAAUGCGUAGAUAUCGUAAGGAAGACCAGUGGCGAAGGCGGGUCUCUAGACAGUUCCUGACGCUGAAGUACGAAGGCCAGGGGAGCAAACGGG
Molecule: ribosomal RNA, 253 nt
Filed under: uncultured prokaryote
Description: partial 16S ribosomal RNA
Rfam family: Bacterial small subunit ribosomal RNA
Source: RNAcentral